GACGAACGCUGGCGGCGCGCCUAACACAUGCAAGUCGAACGAGCGAGAGAGAGUUUACUUUUUCGAGCGAGUGGCGAACGGGUGAGUAACGCGUGAGGAACCUGCCUUAAAGAGGGGGACAACAGUUGGAAACGACUGCUAAUACCGCAUAAGCCCACGGUGCCGCAUGGCACAGAGGGAAAAGGAGCAAUCCGCUUUGAGAUGGCCUCGCGUCCGAUUAGCUAGUUGGUGAGGUAAUGGCCCACCAAGGCGACGAUCGGUAGCCGGACUGAGAGGUUGAACGGCCACAUUGGGACUGAGACACGGCCCAGACUCCUACGGGAGGCAGCAGUGGGGAAUAUUGCACAAUGGGGGAAACCCUGAUGCAGCGACGCCGCGUGGAGGAAGAAGGUCUUCGGAUUGUAAACUCCUGUUGUUGAGGAAGAUAAUGACGGUACUCAACAAGGAAGUGACGGCUAACUACGUGCCAGCAGCCGCGGUAAAACGUAGGUCACAAGCGUUGUCCGGAAUUACUGGGUGUAAAGGGAGCGCAGGCGGGAAGACAAGUUGGAAGUGAAAUCCAUGGGCUCAACCCAUGAACUGCUUUCAAAACUGUUUUUCUUGAGUAGUGCAGAGGUAGGCGGAAUUCCCGGUGUAGCGGUGGAAUGCGUAGAUAUCGGGAGGAACACCAGUGGCGAAGGCGGCCUACUGGGCACCAACUGACGCUGAGGCUCGAAAGUGUGGGUAGCAAACAGGAUUAGAUACCCUGGUAGUCCACACUGUAAACGA
This 768-nucleotide ribosomal RNA is filed under the name uncultured bacterium. RNAcentral describes it as "bacterial SSU rRNA". It matches the Rfam family "Bacterial small subunit ribosomal RNA", at positions 28 to 809 of the family's 1533-position model. The record is from RNAcentral.